Molecule: non-coding RNA, 77 nt
Organism: Podarcis lilfordi (Lilford's wall lizard)
Lineage: Eukaryota; Metazoa; Chordata; Lepidosauria; Squamata; Lacertidae
Source: the annotation of a GenBank genome assembly
GGAGAAGGUCCAUAGCUCAGUGGCAGAGCACCUCCUUUGUUUGCAGAAGGUCCCAGGUUCAAUCCCCAGCAUUUCCA